UACGUAGGGUGCAAGCGUUUGUCCGGAAUUAUUGGGCGUAAAGAGCUCGUAGGCGGUUUGUCGCGUCUGCUGUGAAAACUCGGGGCUUAACCCCGGGCCUGCAGUGGGUACGGGCAGACUAGAGUGCGGUAGGGGUGACUGGAAUUCCUGGUGUAGCGGUGGAAUGCGCAGAUAUCAGGAGGAACACCGAUGGCGAAGGCAGGUCACUGGGCCGCAACUGACGCUGAGGAGCGAAAGCAUGGGGAGCGAACAGG
RNAcentral lists this ribosomal RNA (254 nucleotides) under uncultured bacterium. Its description in RNAcentral is "partial 16S ribosomal RNA". It matches the Rfam family "Bacterial small subunit ribosomal RNA", at positions 524 to 776 of the family's 1533-position model. The record is from RNAcentral.